Hirundo rustica (Barn swallow) is the source of this 580-nucleotide long non-coding RNA. RefSeq lists it as uncharacterized. The transcript has 3 exons. The record is from RefSeq and is a predicted model, not a curated record. Lineage: Eukaryota; Metazoa; Chordata; Aves; Passeriformes; Hirundinidae.
UGGAUAUUGAAAUCAGAAGCUUUCUGAAAAUUAGGCAAUAGCAGUUCUGUUGUGAAGGUCUCUGUAGCUACCCAUGAAGGAGACAGCAGUGAACGGGGCAGCUCACCUGGCAUAAGCACUUACAACUGGGGACGCCCACCAACAGCUGCAAAGUCUGCCAUCUUCUCAGAGGAGCUUUCAGCAGAAUAAAUUAUGAAGCUGCAGUAAGCUCUGUAAAAAGUAUUCCAGCUGGUAGUUUUCAGUGCAGAAUGUAAACUACCAAUUCACAGGAUCAGAGAAUGGUUGAGGUUAGAAAGGAACUCUGGAGAUCAUCUGGUCCAAACCCCCAUCACCUGCUCCAGUUACAUCCCUCUGAACGGCAGUGACCAAGAGUCAUCCUUGCACAAGAAUGUUUGCAUGGAGCUCGCUCACCUUCACUCCCUAGGACUGGGCUGGGAUUUUUUGAGAAGUGAAUCCAUCCAGUUAAAAGACCUCAGAGAAACAUCUGCUUCAUGAUAACUUCCUUCAAGUCAAUGCCAGGUGUGCACAGGCACUAAAUCAUUAAAAAGCUAAAAAAAAAAUAAAUAACUUCAGCCAUGUU